Molecule: ribosomal RNA, 429 nt
Filed under: Chloroflexota bacterium
Lineage: Bacteria; Bacillati; Chloroflexota
Description: Chloroflexi bacterium partial 16S ribosomal RNA
Rfam family: Bacterial small subunit ribosomal RNA
Source: RNAcentral
UGGGGAAUAUUGCACAAUGGGCGCAAGCCUGAUGCAGCCAUGCCGCGUGUGUGAAGAAGGCCUUCGGGUUGUAAAGCACUUUCAGCGGGGAGGAAGGCGGUGAGGUUAAUAACCUCAUCGAUUGACGUUACCCGCAGAAGAAGCACCGGCUAACUCCGUGCCAGCAGCCGCGGUAAUACGGAGGGUGCAAGCGUUAAUCGGAAUUACUGGGCGUAAAGCGCAUGCAGGCGGUCUGUCAAGUCGGAUGUGAAAUCCCCGGGCUCAACCUGGGGACUGCAUUCGAAACUGGCAGGCUAGAGUCUUGUAGAGGGGGGUAGAAUUCCAGGUGUAGCGGUGAAAUGCGUAGAGAUCUGGAGGAAUACCGGUGGCGAAUGCGGCCCCCUGGACAAAGACUGACGCUCAGGUGCGAAAGCGUGGGGAGCAAACAGG